This 925-nucleotide ribosomal RNA is filed under the name uncultured bacterium. RNAcentral's name for it is "bacterial SSU rRNA". It matches the Rfam family "Bacterial small subunit ribosomal RNA", at positions 62 to 982 of the family's 1533-position model. The record is from RNAcentral.
UCGAACGGCAGCACGGGGGCAACCCUGGUGGCGAGUGGCGAACGGGUGAGUAACAUAUCGGAACGUGCCCUGGAGUGGGGGAUAACUAGUCGAAAGAUUAGCUAAUACCGCAUACGAUCUACGGAUGAAAGUGGGGGAUCGCAAGACCUCAUGCUCGUGGAGCGGCCGAUAUCUGAUUAGCUAGUUGGUGGGGUAAAGGCCUACCAAGGCAUCGAUCAGUAGCUGGUCUGAGAGGACGACCAGCCACACUGGGACUGAGACACGGCCCAGACUCCUACAGGAGGCAGCAGUGGGGAAUUUUGGACAAUGGGCGCAAGCCUGAUCCAGCAAUGCCGCGUGAGUGAAGAAGGCCUUCGGGUUGUAAAGCUCUUUUGUCAGGGAAGAAACGGUUCGGGUUAAUACCUUGGGCUAAUGACGGUACCUGAAGAAUAAGCACCGGCUAACUACGUGCCAGCAGCCGCGGUAAUACGUAGGGUGCAAGCGUUAAUCGGAAUUACUGGGCGUAAAGCGUGCGCAGGCGGUUGUGCAAGACAGAUGUGAAAUCCCCGGGCUCAACCUGGGAAUUGCAUUUGUGACUGUACGGCUAGAGUGUGUCAGAGGGGGGUAGAAUUCCACGUGUAGCAGUGAAAUGCGUAGAGAUGUGGAGGAAUACCGAUGGCGAAGGCAGCCCCCUGGGAUAACACUGACGCUCAUGCACGAAAGCGUGGGGAGCAAACAGGAUUAGAUACCCUGGUAGUCCACGCCCUAAACGAUGUCUACUAGUUGUCGGGUCUUUAUUGACUUGGUAACGCAGCUAACGCGUGAAGUAGACCGCCUGGGGAGUACGGUCGCAAGAUUAAAACUCAAAGGAAUUGACGGGGACCCGCACAAGCGGUGGAUGAUGUGGAUUAAUUCGAUGCAACGCGAAAAANCUUUACCUACCCUU